This 7877-nucleotide long non-coding RNA is filed under the name Gallus gallus (chicken). The record is from RNAcentral. Lineage: Eukaryota; Metazoa; Chordata; Aves; Galliformes; Phasianidae.
AUUAAAUUGUAUAUAUUAUGAUAGUAAAAUGGUACAAGAGCUAUUAUCUUCUUAAAACUAUGAUUUUGAAUUCCGGAAUUACUUACAUUAACAAAAUAUGAUAGAAAUAGACAUUUGCUUUAGAAUGAGCUAAAUACUGAAUUUUUAUAUACACAGUAAGAUUUGGUAGCAGUUUAAAUAUUUUCAGAAAACUGAAUCCAAGACUCUUUAUUUAUGUUUACUGCAAUGCAAGGAGAGAGUCUUAAGUCAACUAUUAAUAUAUCUGUGCUAUAUUUUCCUCUAAGGAUUUGGGAACAGAAUUAUGCUGUUCUCAUGAAAACAAUAUUUGUCCAGCCCUUACAGAGGGUUGCAAUGCACUCUAUUACUUUUAAAACAAAAAUAUCACUCAGUUUAGAUUUAAAAUGUAAUGCUUUUCUCUUUUCUUUUCUUUUCCCCCCCUUUUUUUUUUCUUUUUUUUUUUCCUUUAUCUUUCAGCCCAAGAACUUGCCAGUCAAGAUGAAAAACUUCUUCUAAUGGAAUCCAGCUUGAAAGCAACUCAAGAGCAGCUAAGUGAGCAAACAGCAGAAACAGUUCACCAAGAACAGAACAGUAGAAAAUCACAGACAGAGCUGAAAGAAGAUCCUGAGAGAACGUAUUAUAGCUUCUGAUGAAGAAAUUAGUGAUUACAAGUCUGAAAAAUGUGAGUAAUGCCUCCAGAAAAGCUUAAAUGGGAAUCACGCCAAGAAUGUGGGACCAGGAAAGUCAAAUUGUCAGACUGAGACAAAACUUUGUGGAAAUGGAAGAAGAAGUAAAGAACUUAAGACUUACACACAGCAAUGAUGCUCAGAUGAUUGAUAAGAAUCUGAAUACUCUGAGAAAUGAGAUGAACUUGUAUGAAGACACAUAGGAUGGUAGUCAAAUGAGCUGAAGUUUAAAUAUGAACAACACAAUGCAACACUGAGGCCUGCAUGACUGUAAGAAUGUUAGGAUAGAAAAUUGUCUUUGGUAGCAGCAAAGAUUAAAAAAAUAGUAUCACUUAAAUAAAUACAUGUGAAGAAGCCAAAUUUGUAACAAAAAGGAAACCAGUAAAUGAAUUCACAAAAGCCAGCUACUACAUAGCAAAUCUCUGUAUAAAUGGGCUGAGAGUAUGUACCAAGAAGAAGGCAAGUAUCUAUUCUUUUUCAAUGGGAAAAACAAAAAACAAAAAACAAACAAACAAAAAAGCUAUUUCAUCCUUACUUUGGGAAAAAGGCACACAAAACCAAAGCAAAAAAUGCCUCACUGACUGCAUCUGUCCAUUCUGUACUGUAAUUUGUUUCCCGCUAUGAAGAUUUAGGUUAAAUUCAUUUCUAUUAUUAAAGACAAAUAAGCUGCAAAAGAACUAAUUCUCUGUCUCCAUCUUUUACAUGUAUAUUUAUUCAUAUGAAUGCACUUUUGUUCAUUUAUUUUUACUUCUACCUUGACAAAGCUGUGCAAAAAAUAACAUAGUUUGAUUACUCAUAAUUUGCAUUUGUGUAAUUAAUAGGGAUGAAAAGGAUUAAAAUCAAUGGAGAAAUAUUUAUUUGUUUAAAUUGGAUAACUAUGGAAAAACUAUUUGGCAGGAAUGAAAGCUUUUCCAUCUAAAUUACGUCAUAUAAUUUAAACUGUUUUAGUUUUUAAGCUUAAAAAGCAUGAAAAUCACAAAGCAGAACUGGAAGAAGACACAGAAAAAUACUGCCAUGUAAAGGAAGAGCCUUCAGAACAAGGGUCUCAGCUCAAAAUUAGCUAGCUGGUCCAUUCUGGAGUGGGAAAACUGAUAAAAUGCCGCAGUACUCAGGUAAUACCCUUGAUACAAUAUGUGGAAGGGAGACAGUGUUUGAAGUAAUAUCAGUGAAUGUAUCAGAGUACUCUCAGAGAAUUUUUCCAACGGAUAAGGAAAUAUUAUUUAAAUAAUACUAACUGUAAAAUUCACUCAUGAGUGAUUGAGAAAACAUGAGAAAUAUUGUUGAAAAUAUCAAGUCAAUAUAACAGCAGCAUUUCUUCUUUUAAAAGUGUUGUGGGUGGGAUUCACCUUGUUGAACUGGAGGUAGGAAUAUUUGAAAUAGAUGUCUAAGUUCCAUUGCUGUCAUUGGAGACUUAAUCAACUCAGUGAGUGAAAUCAAGGGCUAUCAAUACCUUUCAUUACCCAAAGUGAACCUACAGAAAAGCUGGAGAGUGACUCUUUAUCAGGUAGCAUUGUCAUAGGACAAGGGAUAGUUGCCUUCAACUAAACUAGAUUAGACAUUAGAAAGAAAUUCUUCACUAUGAGGACAGUGAGAUACUGAAAUAAAUUGUCCAUAGAAACUGUGGAUGCUCCAUCUCUGGGAGCAUUCAAACGUAGGUUGAGUGAAGCCCUUGGCAACUUGAUCUCAUGGAAGGUGACUGUGCUAUGGCAGGGAAUUAGAACUAGAUGAAUUUAAGUUCUCUUCCAAACCAUUUUAUGAUUCUAUGACUAAAUAUUGAUCCAAUCAAUAUUAAGGUUUUCAGAGGAGCUGAAAAUCAAUCCCAGUGACAAUAUUAUUCAUUGUGAUAGAACACAUUCACACACCGUAAUGCAGACAUCCAAAUUUGGGUAAGAAUAAUCAGAUUAGAAAAGUUAGCCUUUUUGCAGCAAUUCAUUAUAUAAUACGGAAUUAUUUUAUUUAUUUUUGUUACUAAUAAGAGUACUAGAUGUUUCACAAGCAUAGAUACUGGUCAAUUAUCUGAGCAAUAUCCAAUAUAUAAAUACACAAAGUUAGAAGGAAAUGAUCAAUGCCAGAGAGAAAUAAAAGUUAAAAUAAUACAUGCUUUUUCUUCUGUGUCUGAGAGAAUGUGAGUAGAUGUGAAAGUUGGAAAACCAAAAGAAUUAGUAGUAUGACAACAUUCCUUUUCUACCCUAGCAUUGUCAAAAGAUAACAAGAUUAAUUCUCUGCUGUAGUAUUUCACUACAGUAGUGUGUUAAUUUGAGGGGCUUGGCUGAGCCUUAUUCAGCAUAUAAUUAGAAUUUACUGAACUUUAAUUUCUUAUCAUCUUUAGGCUGCAUUAUCAAAGUGUUUAUAUUGAAACAUUCAAAUGUUCAGUUAAAAAUAAACUUCAGUUUGUCAAGGAUACAUUGUAUACAAAUUCUGUGGAAAUAUUUGAAUAAAAUUGUUCACUUUUGCUUUGUGAGAAAUGCUUUGCACUUUACAUAUUUAUAACAUAAUGUCAUUAGAGUAUGUAUCUUAGAAAUAUAGCAAUUUCCUGGUGAAUUUAUUGAAUAAAUGCUUAUCUAAUAAGUAAUUUGAGAGUAGAGAAAGAUCUAAUGAAAAGCUAAAUACACAGUGAAAUCCUAAUCAAGCAAUUGAAAUAGUUACUCAUGAUAAAACUAAGAUUAUCAGAGUAUCAGAACACAAAUUACUCCAUUAAUCUUUUGAAUUAGUCAGUUCUUAUUUUCUGAAGCUAAGUAACUUGGGAAGGUACACUCAAGGUUUCAUCUUUCUGAAGACUGUAUUUAUUACCUUUACUUUCAUAAAGAGUUCAUUAGAAAGAAUAUUACAGUGAAAUACGUUAACUUUUUAGCCUGUUUUAAUGAGGUCAUGUGAGUCUUUAAUUAUCUGACAUAAAACUGCUUAGUUUUACGUAGUAUCUACAGAUACUAAUUAGUAUCUACAUAUAUACAUUAGUAUCUACAUCAAUUAGUAUCUACAGAUAUUAACGGAUUCAUAUGUCAUAAAGCCAGAAGAAACGCUGUUAUUGAAUCUUAUAUGUGGCACAAUGCAGGCCACAGGACUUCACUGAAUUGAGUAGUUGUAAGAGAUUAUUCUUUUAUAUGAUUGACUCAAAGUUUGCUGAGGAACAAGUCCAGGCAAGUCCUGGGCAAAGGUACAGAAAUCUUCUGUCUGGAGGACACUGAUGGACAGGUCCUGGCUAAAGGAUUGUGAAGUCCUUUAAGGAGCACAGAUGGACGAGGCCAGGGGCAACGAGAGAGGGAUAAGCUGCUGAUAAUGGCUGAGAAAUGGUCUUUUGUGUGGACUUAUCUAGAAGAAGAUGGCCAUCUCAGGAGCUACGCACAUGACUCUUGCUCAAGCACCCAGGGAUGUCACGUAGGCAGGAAAAAGAGGAGGAUAAAAGAGGGUCUAACAACCAUGAGGAGAGGGUUUCUGCCAUCAGAUCCCUCACCACGACGGACUCAAGGUUUCUGCCAUCAGAUCCUUCACUACGGACCAUAUGCUGAUGGACUUCCCUGGGCCUGCUACCUGAGACCUGCUGCUUCCUCCCAGACUUACUCUGCGGCUUCUUCCUGGACCCACCCGGUACCUGCACCCUCUCGUUGCCCAAGACCGGCCUCGCUGCUCCUGCCCUUCAGCCUCGGACCAUCAGAACAUCGUGCAACAGGACUACUGCUGGUGGUGACUAUCCCCGCUUUAUGCAAUUCUUGCUUCUUUCUAUCUUUUCUAUCGCUCGCCUUCCCUUUCCCAUCACCCCAAUCCAUAAUAGUGUCCGUCCUCCCCUUUCUUCAUCUCCCUUAUUAACAUAUGUAAUAAACUGGUCGGACCAACAUUUGAACCGUUGUUUCUUAAUCUCACGCCGGGCAUACAUAUUUCAAAGAACCUCCUCUCCCUCCUAUAAAUUGGAGUGAGACAGUAGUACAUUAUGUCUAAGUAAAUGUGAUUAAAAUGGAGUAUAUUAAAAUGGAGCAUACAUUUUUUAUACAUUCUUGACUUUAAAUAUACACAAUGUUAGAGAAUUCAUUACGGUCUUUCACAGGUUGCCUCAAUAGUUAGUAAAACAUAUAGCAUGCUGACUGUUCAUCAUUUUAGCAUCUUUCUUGGAAUGUUAUACAAAUCUCAACAUAUAUAAAAAUAGUUUUUAUGUCAUCUUUAUCAAUAACAUUUGAAAUAUCAUAAAACUGAAAGAGCAGAUAGUUUUACAAGAUGUGUUUACAGUAAAUCCACAGUAACUUUGGUUAUUAUAUUAAUGCACAUUUGUUAUAUGUAUCUACAGCUAACACAAAUUACUGUGGAAUUAUGAUAUUAGCUGUCCUGAUAUUUUGCUUGAAAGAGAUAAGUAACUACCCUCCUUGAAUUACUUGAAUCACCCUCUUAAAACCUAAGAAAUAUUAGCACAGAAUUAACAGAUAAAUUAAUCUGUACUGUUUUGGAAGUUUUUAAGGUUGUCAAGACCAAACACUGUAAAUAUGGCCUAGAAAUUCUUUUCAAAAGCACUUCAAAAGCACUUAGAUAUGUUUUACGUAGACAAUUUGAAAUAUAUUUAUACUUAUGUGAUUGCAGUCACUUUUAUCCUAAGACUAAAAUACCAUACAUUCUUCAGUUAUAAUAGAAUAUUUCACAUGAAGGGUUCUACAGAGAUCAUCAAGUCCAACUGCCUGACAACUUCAGAGGUAACCACAAGUUAAGCGUAUUACUGAGGGCAUUAUCCAAAUGCAUCUCAAGUAAUAUUAGGCAUGGGACAUCAGUCAUCUCAUUGCAGUGAGAUAAAAGCCUGUUCCACUGUUUGAUGAUAAAUAAAUGUCCAGUAUAGUCUGAAACUCCCCUGGCACAGCACAGCUGUGUGCCACUCCUGUGCAACCUGCAAUCAGCACAGAAGAUACCAGGGAGCAGAGACCAGCACCUCCCUCUGUACUUCCUCUCCUCAAGGAGCUGCAGAGAGCAGUAAAGUCAUCUUGUAGACUCCUAUUCUCCAGGCUAGACAGUCCAAGAGUCCUCACCCUUUCCUUACUAGACAUGUCUUCCAUUCUGAUUACCUGCUUUGUUGCCAUUGUCUGGACACUUUUAGAUAUCUUAAUAAUGUUUUUAUGUUGUGGGGCAUACAUUAUUCAAGGUGAGGUUGCACCAACUCCAAAUAUAUCAGGACAAUCACCCCAAAAAGCAGUUUGCCCUUUUGGCAACCAACACUGCUGGUUCAUACUGAGCCUGCUAUCAUCAGCCCUCCUAGAUCAAUUUGUUCUGAGCUGCUCUCCAGCCAUUCAUCUCUCAGUUUGUGUCAUCUCUCAGGUACUGUGCCAGGCAUAGUACCUGACAUUUACCUUUGUUGAACUUCACGCCACUGUUUCCCCAGUGCUCCAAUCCAUCCACAUUGCUCUACAAGACCUCAGCAACACAACUGACCAUCUACUAGCCAAAUGGGUCUCCAUCACUACAACACUUUGAGUUCUACCAUUGAGCCAGUUUAUCACCCUGCAUAGUGUGAACAUACUUAUCUCACAGUUGGACAAUUUGUACAGAAAGUUGCCAUGAAGGAUCAUAUCAAAGGCUUUACUGAAUUCUAGAAAGAUGACGUACGCUGCCUUCCUUCAUCCACCAAGUGGGUAAUCUUAUAAAAAGAAAUCAAAGCAAUGAAGACAGGGCUUUCCCUUCAUGAACCCAUAUUGACUAUGCCUGACAAUGGCUUUGUCCUUCAAGUGCCUUUCAGUAACACUCACUAUAAUCUUCUCCAUAAAUUUUUAGGGUACUGAAGUUAGGUUAACAAGUCUGUUACAGAUUUGUUACUUUUGUUACUUUGUUUUCAGUAAGUUCUUUCUCUUUAUUUUUUGUUUGUUUGUUUAUUUUACUUUGUUUUGGGAAGAGGAGAGCUUGUGGUGGGGAGUGGGGUUUUGUCAUCUACGUAGUGCUAUUGAAGAUAAUACUACUUUUUUAUAUUUAAACAUUUGAUCCUCAGAAAGUUUCAUCCUAUUCUUUCAUGUUUACGAGAUUUUUCUCUCUUCAAACACUUUUUUUCUUUGUAUGAACAUUUGCAAAUGAGUGUGUACAUGCAUAUCAAUGACCAUGAGUACAUGGGGCUUAUCUGUUCCUCAAAAAUAUGACUUGGUCAAAAUUACUUUUGCAUAAAGAACAACUGAAUUUCAGCAACGUAAUCCUUUCCUACUCAUAAGUCUUAAAUUAAUGUGCAAAAUUGAAUUAAUCAGCAUAUUUAAUUACAAUUUUUUUGUUAAACUUAUUUAUCUGUGAAGGUGUUAUGUAUAAUUUUUGAAAGUUAAUGGAUACAUUAUUAAGCAAAGAGUAACAGCUCCAACAAACCAGAAUUAUUUAAGUCUCUGAGGAAAACUAAGAUUUCCCUUCUGAUUCAUCUUUAAAAUCCUGUUUUCAACAUCUUUGCAAAGUUAAUUUUAGUUUUUUAAAAGCCAGGUAACUUAAAAUAAUUUUUCUGCCCUUCAUUCCUCUUUUGUUUAUCGUGUUUUUCAGAAUGUUGUUCCAUUAGUGACUUUGAAGUCAGUGAUGUUAGAUCAAAUUAUUCAAAUUACUAGCUUUUGUUGUUGCUGGUGCUGUUUUGUGGGUUUUUUUUCUUUUGUUUUGUUUUGUUUUGAUUUUCCUCUUAUGAAUGUAAUUUACUGGUGUAGUGGUUAUUAGAACAGAACUUCACAGUGUUUGUGUUUUGUCUUAAUUAUAAGUAAUUUUAUAUCACUAAUAUUAUCAGUAAACUUGUUUGUGUAUAUUUUACUCAAUGAAAUGUUAAUGCCAAACUUUGAACAGAAACUGUACUGACUACUUCUAUCUUAAAACAGACAGUACCAGUAGCUGAUUGUUUUACUUUUGUUUCCUUUCAUCAAACAACUCUAUUCAGAAGGUGAAAAUUUCCUUUUCUUCUUUUUGAUGGAAUUUCUUUUCAUUUCUCCCCUUUCUUUUCAUAGUUUUACAAACGGUCAGUUACACAGUUUAUUACAAAAUAUGUUGAGGCACAUGCCUAGAAGGUGUGUUGAAUGGCAUACUCCAUCUACUUGUGGCAUCUAUGCAUAUUAAGUUGUUAAAAGCAUGUUUGUCAAACUUAUAUGACAGUUUUAGCAAUUGUAAAAACGCAUAUUUGCUAUGCUAUGCUAGAAGAAGAGGAAGAAAAAGAAGAAGAGAAGUGAAAAAAGAGAGGAGAGGAGAGGAGAGGAGAGGAGAGGAGAGGAGAGGAGAGGAGAG